This 468-nucleotide ribosomal RNA is filed under the name uncultured bacterium. RNAcentral describes it as "partial 16S ribosomal RNA". It matches the Rfam family "Bacterial small subunit ribosomal RNA", at positions 28 to 507 of the family's 1533-position model. The record is from RNAcentral.
GACGAACGCUGGCGGCGUGCUUAACACAUGCAAGUCGAACGGAAAGGCCCUGCUUUUGUGGGGUGCUCGAGUGGCGAACGGGUGAGUAACACGUGAGUAACCUGCCCUUGACUUUGGGAUAACUUCAGGAAACUGGGGCUAAUACCGGAUAGGAGCUCCUGCUGCAUGGUGGGGGUUGGUAAGUUUCGGCGGUUGGGGAUGGACUCGCGGGUUAUCAGCUGGUUGGUGGGGUAGUGGCUUACCAAGGCUUUGACGGGUAGCCGGCCUGGGAGGGUGACCGGCCACAUUGGGACUGAGAUACGGCCCAGACUCCUACGGGACGCAGCAGUGGGGAAUAUGGCACAACGGGCGGAAGCCUGAUGCAGCGACGCCGCGUGCGGGAUGACGGCCUUCGGGUUGUGAACCGCUUUCGCCUGUGACGAAGCGGGAGUGACGGUAAUGGGUAAAGAAGCACCGGCUAACUACGUG